Molecule: long non-coding RNA, 401 nt
Organism: Telopea speciosissima
Lineage: Eukaryota; Viridiplantae; Streptophyta; Magnoliopsida; Proteales; Proteaceae
Exons: 3
Source: RefSeq, a predicted model, not a curated record
UGAUUAAAUCAGUUUUCAUUUGUGAGCCCAAGUCACUGACUUUGAUGAGGAUGGCUUGUGUGUGGAUGAUGAACAAGGGUUUCGGUUGCUGGUGUCUCUGGUACAGAGUCAUGGAUUGAAGCAAUGGACAAAUAUAGCAUCCAUCAUGAAAACUAGGGAAGGAAAACAAUGCCGAGAGCGAUGGUUUAAUCAUCUUAGCCCCGAUAUCAAGAAGGAAGCGUGGACUGAAGAGGAGGAGAUAGCCUUGGUCCAGGCACAUGCAGAAGUGGGAAAAAAGUGGACUAAGAUUGCAAAGAGAAUUCCAGGAAGAACUGAGAAUUCAAUCAAAAACCAUUGGAAUUCGACCAAACGUCGGAAGCAAUUAGGUCGUGGUCAUCAGAAGGCUAGUGUGGACGGAAACA